This 180-nucleotide non-coding RNA is filed under the name Microbulbifer sp. ZGT114. RNAcentral describes it as "6S / SsrS RNA". It matches the Rfam family "6S / SsrS RNA". Rfam says of the family: E. coli 6S RNA was the first non coding RNA to be sequenced, but its function was unknown until recently. The record is from Rfam by way of RNAcentral. Lineage: Bacteria; Pseudomonadati; Pseudomonadota; Gammaproteobacteria; Cellvibrionales; Microbulbiferaceae. RNAcentral also lists the same sequence under 1 other name.
UAAGCCCUGAGGUGUUGGCCAGUUGACAAUGUCCUGAGCCGAUACUUUUACCCUGGAGGUUUCCAGCGGAUGUUGGUGUGCAAGUCCGCCAUGCAGCGGAAAGCCUUAUGCAUUCCGGAGACCACCACCUUGAACUUAACGGUUCAAGGCUACGUCAUCAGCCGCACGCUCGGGGUGUCC